AUCCUUCUGGUUCUUACACAUGAUGAGUGGGUUGUCAGGCUUGUGUGUGAGAUGUGUCUUCCCAUAUUGUUACGACUUGACACAUUACCCUUCUGAUC
Non-coding RNA from Xenopus laevis (African clawed frog), 98 nucleotides. The record is from Rfam. Lineage: Eukaryota; Metazoa; Chordata; Amphibia; Anura; Pipidae.